UUUUAAACUUGACUUGAAAUACUUGCUCUAUUCAUAACAUGACCAACCAGGUCUUCUCUUCACAUUGUUGGUUCCUUUUUAUCUAUUCAAUUGGUCUCUAAAUAUCCUAAAGUCUCCUGUUGAAUUCCUAGACAUAACUGUUUGGUUUAAAAUAAUUCAAAUUUUACUUUCUAUUUUCCGUUUACACAAAAAGUUACUUUCUAUUUUCCGUUUACACAAAAAGUUACUUUCUAUUUUAUCUGAUAUAAUUGAAGGAAUCCAUGCUACAAGGUGUGAUUUUUUCCAGUUGUGAUAAGCAGAUGUCCACAAACUUGCUCCAUCGUUGGGAUGAUGAAGGUGGAUGUGACUCCAUUGCUGUUGGUUUCUCAAUUCUGACUCGAGGGGCUUCCAGAAAAAAGGGAACACGUUGAUGAUGGAACGCGGGAUUCACCGGCAUGACCAACACGCGUUCCUCUUUUGCUUCAAAACGCAGUUUCCCCCCUCUUACAUAAACGACAACGUUUUCAACAAGAAUAUGUAAACGACGUGUCGUCCGGAAUCAGUGGACCAUUUUCUCUUUUUGGAAACUUUCUACUGCUUACAAAGGUAAUAAAAAUUAUGCCAUAAAGGUCGAAAAUGCAACCAAAAUCACAUUGGUAUAAAGUUUAUUUUUUGAAAGGGAAUCAAAACCCAAAUCAUGAGAAUAUAUAUAGAUCUCUAAAAUAGACAAUAUCAUAUCAUGUAUAUUUGAAAAAUUAGAUGAUAACAAAACUGUUUCUUCUUA
Long non-coding RNA from Cucumis melo (muskmelon), 763 nucleotides. RefSeq lists it as uncharacterized. The transcript has 2 exons. NCBI's taxonomy places the organism in Eukaryota, Viridiplantae, Streptophyta, Magnoliopsida, Cucurbitales, Cucurbitaceae. The record is from RefSeq and is a predicted model, not a curated record.